GGGGAUACAGCUCAAGUGGUAGAUCACAUGCUUAGCAUGCAUAAGGUCCUGGGUUCAAUCUCCAGUACCUCCU
This is a transfer RNA of Camelus ferus (Wild Bactrian camel), 73 nucleotides long. It matches the Rfam family "tRNA". From Rfam's summary of the family: Transfer RNA (tRNA) molecules are approximately 80 nucleotides in length. Their secondary structure includes four short double-helical elements and three loops (D, anti-codon, and T loops). Lineage: Eukaryota; Metazoa; Chordata; Mammalia; Artiodactyla; Camelidae. The record is from Rfam.